GACGUAGGGCGCGAGCGUUGUCCGGAUUUAUUGGGCGUAAAGAGCUCGUAGGCGGCUUGUUACGUCGGCUGUGAAAUCCCGCGGCUCAACUGCGGGGCUGCCGGUCAUACUGGCGAGCUAGAGCACGGUAGGGGCAGAUGGAAUUCCCGGUGUAGCGGUGGAAUGCGUAGAGAUCGGGAAGAAUACCAGUGGCGAAGGCGUUCUGCUGGGCCGUUGCUGACACUGAGGCGCGACAGCGUGGGGAGCAAACAGG
Molecule: ribosomal RNA, 253 nt
Filed under: uncultured bacterium
Lineage: Bacteria
Description: partial 16S ribosomal RNA
Rfam family: Bacterial small subunit ribosomal RNA
Source: RNAcentral